RNAcentral lists this transfer RNA (73 nucleotides) under Camelus bactrianus (Bactrian camel). It matches the Rfam family "tRNA". From Rfam's summary of the family: Transfer RNA (tRNA) molecules are approximately 80 nucleotides in length. Their secondary structure includes four short double-helical elements and three loops (D, anti-codon, and T loops). Further hydrogen bonds mediate the characteristic L-shaped molecular structure. tRNAs have two regions of fundamental functional importance: the anti-codon, which is responsible for specific mRNA codon recognition, and the 3' end, to which the tRNAs corresponding amino acid is attached (by aminoacyl-tRNA synthetases). tRNAs cope with the degeneracy of the genetic code in two manners: having more than one tRNA (with a specific anti-codon) for a particular amino acid; and 'wobble' base-pairing, i.e. permitting non-standard base-pairing at the 3rd anti-codon position. The record is from Rfam by way of RNAcentral. Lineage: Eukaryota; Metazoa; Chordata; Mammalia; Artiodactyla; Camelidae. RNAcentral also lists the same sequence under 3 other names.
GAGGGUAUAGCUCAAGUGGUAGAGCACAUGCUUAGCAUGCACGAGGUCCUGGGUUCAAUUCCCGGUACCUGCU